This 923-nucleotide ribosomal RNA is filed under the name uncultured Bacteroidota bacterium. RNAcentral's name for it is "bacterial SSU rRNA". It matches the Rfam family "Bacterial small subunit ribosomal RNA", at positions 1 to 917 of the family's 1533-position model. Lineage: Bacteria; Pseudomonadati; Bacteroidota. The record is from RNAcentral.
UGGAUCCAGACUUUGAUUCUGGCUCAGGAUGAACGCUAGCUACAGGCCUAACACAUGCAAGUCGAGGGGAAACGGCAGCUUAGCUUGCUAAGCUGGACGUCGACCGGCGCACGGGUGAGUAACGCGUAUCCAACCUGCCCCACGGUGAGGGAUAACCCGCGGAAACGCGGCCUAAUACCUCAUGGUCUCCGAGUUUGCCAUCAACCUUGGAGUAAAGAUUCAUUGCCGUGGGAUGGGGAUGCGUCUGAUUAGCUUGUUGGCGGGGCAACGGCCCACCAAGGCUACGAUCAGUAGGGGUUCUGAGAGGAAAGCCCCCCACAUUGGAGCUGAGACACGGUCCAAACUCCUACGGGAGGCAGCAGUGAGGAAUAUUGGUCAAUGGGCGAGAGCCUGAACCAGCCAAGUAGCGUGCAGGAAGACGGCCCUAUGGGUUGUAAACUGCUUUUAUGCGGGGAUAAAGCGGGCGACGUGUCGCCCUUUGCAGGUACCGCAUGGAUAAGGACCGGCUAAUUCCGUGCCAGCAGCCGCGGUAAUACGGAAGGUCCGGGCGUUACCCGGAUUUAUUGGGUUUAAAGGGAGCGCAGGCCGGGUAUUAAGCGUGUUGUGAAAUGUAGGCGCCCAACGUCUGCACCGCAGCGCGAACUGGUGCCCUGAGUACGCACGACGUUGGCGGAAUUCGCCGUGUAGCGGUGAAAUGCUUAGAUAUGGCGAAGAACUCCGAUUGCGAAGGCAGCUGACGGGAGCGCUACUGACGCUCAUGCUCGAAAGUGCGGGUAUCGAACAGGAUUAGAUACCCUGGUAGUCCGCACGGUAAACGAUGGAUGCCCGCUGUUGGCUUGAAUUAGUCAGCGGCCAAGCGAAAGCAUUAAGCAUCCCACCUGGGGAGUACGCCGGCAACGGUGCAACUCAAAUGAAUUGACGGA